Molecule: ribosomal RNA, 207 nt
Filed under: uncultured bacterium
Lineage: Bacteria
Description: partial 16S ribosomal RNA
Rfam family: Bacterial small subunit ribosomal RNA
Source: RNAcentral
CGGGCAGGCGGCGGUCAAAGUCGGACGUGAAAGCUCCUGGCUCAACUGGGAGAGGCCGUUCGAAACUCGGCCGCUAGAGGACGGUAGAGGCACGUGGAAUUCCGGGUGGAGUGGUGAAAUGCGUAGAGAUCCGGAGGAACACCAGAGGCGAAGGCGGCGUGCUGGGCCGCACCUGACGCUGAGCCGCGAAAGCCAGGGGAGCGAACG